Molecule: ribosomal RNA, 466 nt
Filed under: uncultured bacterium
Lineage: Bacteria
Description: partial 16S ribosomal RNA
Rfam family: Bacterial small subunit ribosomal RNA
Source: RNAcentral
GAUGAACGCUGGCGGCGUGCUUAACACAUGCAAGUCGAACGGAAAGGCCCAAGCUUGCUUGGGUACUCGAGUGGCGAACGGGUGAGUAACACGUGGGUGAUCUGCCCUGCACUUCGGGAUAAGCCUGGGAAACUGGGUCUAAUACUGGAUAGGACCACUUCUUGGAUGUUGUGGUGGAAAGUUUUUUCGGUGUGGGAUGAGCUCGCGGCCUAUCAGCUUGUUGGUGGGGUAAUGGCCUACCAAGGCGUCGACGGGUAGCCGGCCUGAGAGGGUGUACGGCCACAUUGGGACUGAGAUACGGCCCAGACUCCUACGGGAGGCAGCAGUGGGGAAUAUUGCACAAUGGGCGCAAGCCUGAUGCAGCGACGCCGCGUGGGGGAUGACGGCCUUCGGGUUGUAAACUCCCUUCGCUAGGGACGAAGCGUUUUGUGACGGUACCUGGAGAAGAAGCACCGGCUAACUACGU